RNAcentral lists this ribosomal RNA (509 nucleotides) under uncultured bacterium. RNAcentral describes it as "bacterial SSU rRNA". It matches the Rfam family "Bacterial small subunit ribosomal RNA", at positions 46 to 507 of the family's 1533-position model. The record is from RNAcentral.
GCCUAAGACAUGCAAGUCGAACGAGAUGGCCACAGAUUUAGAAGGAAGAUAGAGUGCUUGCACGAAGUUAGAAUUUGAUGACGUGGAAAUUCCAUCUAGUGGCAAACGGGUGAAUAACACGUGGGUAACCUACCUCUAAGUUGGGGAUAACAGUUGGAAACGACUGAUAAUACCGAAUAAGCUCUACGGAGUAAAGAAGCCAUUAAGCUUCGCUAAGAGAUGGGCCUGCGGCGUAUUAGCUAGUUGGUGGGGUAAGAGCCUACCAAGGCGACGAUCGGUAGCUGGUCUGAGAGGACGACCAGCCACACUGGGACUGAGACACGGCCCAGACUCCUACGGGAGGCAGCAGUGGGGAAUUUUGGACAAUGGGGGCAACCCUGAUCCAGCCAUGCCGCGUGCAGGAUGAAGGCCUUCGGGUUGUAAACUGCUUUUGUCAGGGACGAAAAGGACCGUGUUAAUACCAUGGUCUGCUGACGGUACCUGAAGAAUAAGCACCGGCUAACUACGUG